Strongylocentrotus purpuratus (purple sea urchin) is the source of this 508-nucleotide long non-coding RNA. RefSeq lists it as uncharacterized. The transcript is spliced from 3 exons. The record is from RefSeq and is a predicted model, not a curated record. Lineage: Eukaryota; Metazoa; Echinodermata; Echinoidea; Camarodonta; Strongylocentrotidae.
UCCCUGGAGCGAACAGCUGUGUAUGAGAGAGAGUGUGUGUGGACUAAGCAUUAUUCAUCAGGGGGUUCGCAUCUCUGCGAGUGAGUUGUUUAGCUCAGCCAUCUGAAGGGCUGGUACAAAGAAUAUUCCUCCUGCUUACUUCAUCUCUCUCUCUCCUCUAUCUUCGGAAGAGGACUGCAUCUAAAGCUGAUACUACCGGGGUAAAGUCUGUGGGUAGAAAACGGUCUGACACGGGGGAUACUCUAAGCGAUACGUCUGGUGACAUCACAGACAUGGAUGCAGAACCAGACAGUGAUGUAGAGCAGGACUUGGACCAGAUGCUGGGAACAUGGCUCGGGGAACUGGAAACAAUUACACAGUCAAUUGAUGCAGACAUACAUGUAGGUCAGCAGAGCCAACCAGCCCCUCUGCCUCCCCAUCAGUCAACCCUUGGCUCAUUAGACAACUUCAGCUUCUCAGCUUUCCAGCUAGCUCGUAAGUUUCUGUUCUUAAUAUAUAGGCUUCCUUU